Molecule: long non-coding RNA, 6401 nt
Filed under: Sus scrofa (pig)
Lineage: Eukaryota; Metazoa; Chordata; Mammalia; Artiodactyla; Suidae
Description: lncRNA (ENSSSCG00025040603.1)
Source: RNAcentral
CUUUCCUUGGGCUAAGGGAAAGAUGUAGCAAGCAGAGGUCUCACAAGGAUGAACGAGCAGGGAUGGUCAUUGGAGACACAUCCGGAAUAACCCGUCCGCCACGAUCACUGGCGCGGUGUUGACGGCGAGGGGCCAGGCACGCGUUUAACCCAAUGUGCCCACGGACCGCCCCUGUGAUGGGGCAUCAUCUCGUGCAGAUGAGAAAACGGGCUUUGGGAGGAAAGGGAUUACACCAUAACCAAAUGGAGAGAUUGUAUCGGAGAUGAUUGGAUCUGAAACCAGGCGUGUCUGACAGGGAGAACCAGACUCUCAACCAAUCCCCGUGGUUCGUGGUUCGCAGGACCGGAACUCUGCUCAUCCACUUACCCUCUCGACACUACUGCUUUCUGCAGCGCCUGGUACCUUUGAGAGUCAAGUUCUAUCUAGUGCAGUUCAUCUCAGAAGAGCCUCCGCUGUGAUCUUCCCCAGAUCCUGGACCCGUCCCACCCAUCUCCCUCUCUACUCAGCGCUCAGAAUCCCUUUAUGAAUCAGCAGGACAACUCUUGGCAUAUAUUAGGGGCUCGACAAGCAUUUGUCACCCAGAUAAUUACUUCCUUUUCAAAGCCUUUCCUUAGAAAAACUGGGAGUCUCCUAAGCUAUGUAUUUCCCCAUCAAGAUUAGGCACAGGGACGCAGAACUUACCAAUGCAUUUAUUCAUUAAUUAACACUCUGGCAAGUAUUCAAACAUUAUACUUUUCAUUCAAGUCUGGAAAACAGGUGAAAACUUCCUAUCUAAAGUCUCACUCCAAUGCUCAAGUUGGCAGAACAGCAUCAAAUUUGGAGCUCCUGCUGUGGCGUGAUGGGACUGGCGGCAUCUUCAGAGAGCUGGGGUGUGAGUCUGCUCCCCAGCCCAGCACAGUGGGUGAAGGAUCCAACAUCACUGGAGCUGCAUUUUAGACGGCAGCUCGGAUCUGAUCCCUGGCCCAGGUAUUUCAUAUGCCUUGGGGCAACCCCCCCCCCCAAAAAAAAUCAUCAAAUUUAUUUAACUCCAAACACUGUAAAAACCCAAAGAUAACUCCUGAGCCAGUCCCUCUCCCUCUCUCUCUCUCUUGAACCACAGUAAUUCUUUUAUGACGGUAUCCAGUGAAAAUCCCUCAUGGAAUUUUCUCUUAACAUGGAAAUGCAUAUGGCCUCUGUGGUACAACAGCUGUGUAACUACAUAAUUGUUUACAAAUGUGCAAAAUAAGUACCCAGACCAAUAAAAAAUAAUAACUUGGGCAUCCAUAAAGAAGAGAUACUAUAAACACGCAAUGGCCCAUACUUUCUCUAUAAAUAACUGUUGAAGCAAAAAUACAACCACCCAAACCCCUUAUUUCAAAUCCCCUUCCAUAAAGCAAACGGCGUUGGCAGUCUGGCAGCUAAUACCAUUGUGCUUUCCAAAGCGAAAAUGCUUUUUUAUUAACAUUUAUCAUUUAGGUGCCAUUAAAGUAACUGCAGUAAAAGUUGAUCCAUUUACAAUAAGCCACUUGGUGUCGAGUCCACUACAUUUUGAACAGGUUCCAGACCAGCACCCGGCUUCCCCACAACACCAAAGAGGGGGGAAGGACAGGGAGAGAAACAUAAACAGGAAGAGACGGUGCGACGGAAGGAGAGGAACCAUAUGGAGCCUUCCAAGUACGCUGGCCGCUACUGUCCGCCACAGCCCCCCGCCAGGCCCACUGCACUCCCAGCCCAAGGAAUUCUUCUUGGACUCUUCCAGGCAGCAAUGAAGGCCUGCCCUUCUGGACCUCUGUCUGGAGACCCCUCUGCCCUCCCUGCCCCCUCCUCAGUCCGGGGAAAACUCCUAUUCGCUCAUGAAAACCCAAUUUAAACUACCUCUUCCCCCAAGAAACCUUCCCUGUCCAACAUCAGAGAGCAAGUCACACCCUUUACAGCAACACCUCUGAACCCUCCGCUCUAACAAUUUGUGCCUUAAAUGCACAACUGCUGACCACCUACCAAAAGCCAAGGAUGAUUCAGAAGCUAUCACAGAUGCGGUGGCAAAGAAAGGGACACAGAACUUACACUCUCUAAAGCCAUACGUGCAUACACAAUGGAACAUCAGGUAGGAUUAGAGGAGCAUAUUACUUCAAUUGUAUUAUUUUAGGUUCUACACUACCACCACUUUUAUGCUGGCUGUCGCCUAGAGUGGACUAUCAACUCCUAUCUCUACAUUCACAUGGUUUCUCAAUUCAGCAAUGUCUACUGAAUUGACUUAAAUUAAAAAUCACAUGAACUAUUAUCACCGUCUGGACCAAGCACAAGGACUUGGGGGAGAGACUAAAUUUAUACAGAAGACCUCUGCUCUCAAGGAGCUAGGAGCCAAUGCCUGGGCAGCUCGAGUAAUGAUGGCUGUGAACAUAAUAUGGGAAAAAAAAUGCUUACCCUUCUGUAGGUGACUUCCUAUCGUCCUUGCAACAACCAGGAGAGGUGUCGUCACAGCCCCAUUUUACAGCUGAGAACCCCAAGGCAGGCCCUGUACCCUGAUCGUGGUCAAGGGGCAGGAUAUACCCUUUGAUAUACCCAUGAAAUGAACCUAAGAGGCUCCUCAUGAAGCCAGUGGGAUCAGGCAGAGGACACUGGCUAGAGAAACAGCUGCACACAAGAAGAGGGACAGGUAAUCGGUAAACUGAGCCUACGGACAAAAAGACCCUGGACUGCUGUGGUUAUCCUGCAGUUUGAUAAAUGGCUCCCUUCCUUGGGGUCCAUGGCUCUAAGGGAACCUCCUGAAAGGGGGUCUCAGGGCUCGACCAUGCUGCCACAAGAAGAGGAGCAGAGGGACCUGAUGGGAGACCUCACCUAGAAAGGGUGGUGCACGGGGGAUGCCAGACUUGGGAGGUGCCGUCUGUCUAUCAACAACUCCAGUCCUAAAGGGCCAACAGGAGUUUGCAGUGUGUUAGCUCCUACAGCGGCUGGAACAGAAGCACCACCAAUGGGCUCAGAAGGUCAGCAAGUACCCGUUCUGCAGAGAGGAGGCAGGCGCGCGAAGCCCAGGGGUCGGCAGAGCCGCCCUCCCUCCAAAGGCUUCCAGGGCAGGGCCUUCGACCUCCUCUGGCUUUGGGCGGCCCCAGAUGUUCCUCAGCUUUGGCCACAUGAUCCCUGCCUCCUCUCAUCUUUUGUGGGGGUCACAAGUCUGCCCAGAGCAGCAGGCCAUAGGGACCAAGCCACACAGUAAGGAAGGGCAACUGGUCCUCCAGCAGCCUUCUCUCCUGCAGGCUCCCACAUGCCUUCCCAUCAUUCCCUGCAGCUCAGGUGGCCAUGUGACACAAUCUGUGCCCACCACACAUAUGAGAAGUCAGAUUUUCCUGAUAAAAGGGUCAGAGGUAGCUGGUCCAGUCCUCUCUCCUGGAGGCUGAUGUCUAGGGCUGCAGUGGCCGCCCAGACCUCAGGGAAAUGAUCUGGCAUCGCAGGGCUGGUGACCCAGAACUCUGGCCAGGGUCGAGCAGCCGAGCCAGCUGAGCCAGCACCAGCAGGGCCUCCCUCUGGGCUUCUUAUCGAGUCAGAAAAGAAAAGGUUCUAUCUGUUCAAGCAAAUUUUCCUCACCAUCCCUUUAACUUGCAGCUGAACUCAUUCCUUAUUGAUAAACCUUCUAAUUGGCCUCCGUGUCUCCAAUCCUCAUCCAUGACCAUCCAGGCUCUACCCUGCGGCCAUGGCACUGGCAUGAGUCACGUUAUAUUGUACCAGGCCAUCUCAGAGGGCAUAGCUUAUGUAUCAAACAUACACCAUAUAUGAUGCCCUAUCGUAUAUGACAUCAAACACACGUUGUACCAUAUAUCACGUUUCAUAUCAUAGCAAUGUCUCUGUGGCUUAAAACAAGCCACAACUAGAAUAAAAUCUCAAGCCCUCACCACGGCUUGCAAGGCUGUGUGUGACAGGACCCCUGCCGCCCUCUCAAGCUUCACCUUGAACCUUCCUCUUCACAUUUUCUGCUCUAAUUCCACUGCCAUCUUUAGCGCCUAAAACAAGCUCCGGAGGCCCUGACAACUGCUUCCGCUGCUUGGUACACUCCGCCACGGGCUCUCUGAGUGGCUGGCUCCUUAUCGUCCUUCAUGUGACAAGGAGGCUAGAACAGUGCCCUACCCAGGGGACACGGAGGUCAAGCAAAGGAGGGAAAACCUAUCAUUCAUUGUGCAGAUGCCCUGUUUUAGAAGGGGGACCCCAAGGGAGAGCUCUGGGUUCAUGCAGUCCCCUGAAAUCGACAUGGUGUCUUCUGUUUCCCACUUCCUCCCCGUCCCAACAAACACAGUCCCACCGAAGUGGGCGUGUGCACAGGUGCCCACACAGAGCCCUCCUUCCCAGGUGGAGGGAGAGCCAGGCCCACAGCCAGGGUCCCACAGCCCAGGCCUUUAUGCCGCCUCACAUGCAAAUCAGAAUCCAAGUAUUGGUCAGCUAGGGCUGCGUAACAAAAUACUCCCACUGGGUGAACAACUCAAAUUCAUCUUCUCACAGGGCCGGAGGCUAGAACCCUUAGGUCCAGGUUUCGGUGUAGGUGGUUUCUUCUGAGGCCUCCGUCCUGGCCUUGCAGACGGCCGCCUUCUCUCGAGUCCUCACCGCCUUCUCACUGCAUCCUCAUCUCCUCUCGUAAGGAGGCCAGUCAGAUUGGGUUAGGGUUCACCCCACAGCCUCAUUUUAACCUAAUCACCACUUUAAAGGCCCUGUCUUCAAACGCAGUCAUGAUUUGAGACCCUGGGGCAGAGGGCUUUGACAGAUGAAUUCGGGAGGACACAAUUCAACCUAUAAUAGGCACCAAAUAAUAAUAACCUCAAAAGGACAGAACUUGCUUGUCUGGUUCCCAGAAAUUUCUCUGUCUAUUCUGGUGCACACUACGUCCUGUCUAGAAGCUCUGGAACCUGAUACUGGCGACUUCUAACCACCAUUUCCUGGCAGUCUGUCUCUUGAGACAUCCAGAUAAUACUGCAUUAUGGAAAUUUUCCAGCAUACCCCCAAAACAGAGAAGCCAGUUAAACACACCCAGAGCUGACCCAGAAUUAUCAACAUUUCCCAACCGGGAUGUGUUUACGCUACCCUCCCGCCAUGUUUCCCAGACUCGUUUAAAGCAAACCCCAGGCACCACCCCACCUCAAGUGCAAACAUGCCAGUGUACAGCUGUAAGACAAGACAAAUUCUGUUUAAAAGGGUGACCUGCACAAAUGAACACCACUUUCCUAAUACCGUCUAUUACCUCCUCCAUAUCCCGACUUCCCUGACGGUCUCAGAAAAGUGUCUUUGAUGGGGGUUCGUUUAAAUACAAAUGAAAACAUGCUUCACGCACGUGCUGCAGGUGAGGUUCUGUCUCUGUAGUGCCUUAAAUCCAAUGUACUAUCUUCCAGUCAAAUGCGCGCUCGCUUCCCACUCAGGGCACCUCCUCACGUAAGACAUCGCCACAGAGCAUCCAUCAUCUAAGAGGCAGGAACCCGGGGGCUCAGGCCUCUCAGCGGACCCAGCACAGGCUACCAGUGAUUUAAUGUCCAGGGGAGGGGGUCGGGCAGCUGCUGAAAGAGGUGCUCUUUCUAAGGACCUUGGUGUGAAUUUGGAUUCAUUUCAAUCGCACCUGCACACGGAGGGACUUUGUGAGGGGUGUUUGGGGAAUAACUGUGAUCGAUACCCAUGCGACGCGUGCAUUUCUAACUGGGAGUGUGUGCACAGGAUGGCGCUGAGGGGGCUCCUGGGUGCCCCCUCUUUAACGCUGAUCACUACACACAGUCAAUCACUCGCAGGGGAACCGGGGCCAACGUUUCUAUUCACAGCGUUCUGGAUCCCCUCACGGAAAGUUCUUCCCUUCGGCCUGUUCAGCCCUGAUGCAUUUAUCAGACCAUGUUACUAUAGGCGGAGGGAAGAAUAACAACACGUUUUUAGACGUUAAGUUUUAUCGUUCUGUCAUCUGUUCACACUUUAAUCACCAAGAUCUUUGGGGCUGGUCUUUCAAACUAUUAUUCCUGAACAGCUGUGUGCGCUAAAAUUGACCGUCUUCUUGGUUGAUGGAUCCACAAAAAAAUAUAAUAAUAAAAAGUUAAAUACUCAACAAAGCUCGGAAUGGCUGCAACCUCCUAGUCUUAAAAUUUUCCUCCAAAGCAUAUAUAACCACCUGACAGGAGCACCUUAUUCCCAUUUACUGAAGCAAUUAUUCCGCCAGGUCGUUACCGAAAAAGCCCCAGAAAUGGUACAUUUCUUCACAAGGGUGAGCGAUAUAUUUUAAAAUGGACAUUACUCCCUAUCACUUUGGAUAUUACAAACAAUUCACAGGAAACACUGAAUGAUUCGUGGUGUAGUUAUUUCUCUAUACAAAGAUAUAUUUAUUUCUCUUUGCAAAGGCCAGACUAGCAAGAAGAGAGGCAGACACACAGAAGCUUUGCCUAAUUUAGCCAGUUGGCUUUAAAGAAACU